GACAGAGGCCUCGAGCGUUAGGCGGAAUCACUGGGCUUAAAGCGUGUGUAGGCGGGCCCGUAAGUGUCUUGUGAAAUCCCACGGCUCAACCGUGGAACUGCUGGGCAUACUGCGGGUCUUGGGCCAACUAGGGGCAGCCGGAACAAGCGGUGGAGCGGUGAAAUGCGCAGAUAUCGGGAGGAACACCGGUGGCGAAGGCGGUUCUCUGGGCCUUACCUGACGCUGAGGAGCGAAAGCGUGGGGAGCGAACAGG
This 253-nucleotide ribosomal RNA is filed under the name uncultured bacterium. Its description in RNAcentral is "partial 16S ribosomal RNA". It matches the Rfam family "Bacterial small subunit ribosomal RNA", at positions 524 to 776 of the family's 1533-position model. The record is from RNAcentral.